RNAcentral lists this ribosomal RNA (1212 nucleotides) under Bacillus licheniformis. RNAcentral describes it as "bacterial SSU rRNA". It matches the Rfam family "Bacterial small subunit ribosomal RNA", at positions 119 to 1316 of the family's 1533-position model. Lineage: Bacteria; Bacillati; Bacillota; Bacilli; Caryophanales; Bacillaceae. The record is from RNAcentral.
GGGUAACCUGCCUGUAAGACUGGGAUAACUCCGGGAAACCGGGGCUAAUACCGGAUGCUUGAUUGAACCGCAUGGUUCAAUCAUAAAAGGUGGCUUUUAGCUACCACUUGCAGAUGGACCCGCGGCGCAUUAACUAGUUGGUGAGGUAACGGCUCACCAAGGCGACGAUGCGUAGCCGACCUGAGAGGGUGAUCGGCCACACUGGGACUGAAACACGGCCCAGACUCCUACGGGAGGCAGCAGUAGGGAAUCUUCCGCAAUGGACGAAAGUCUGACGGAACAACGCCGCGUGAGUGAUGAAGGUUUUCGGAUCGUAAAACUCUGUUGUUAGGGAAGAACAAGUACCGUUCGAAUAGGGCGGUACCUUGACGGUACCUAACCAGAAAGCCACGGCUAACUACGUGCCAGCAGCCGCGGUAAUACGUAGGUGGCAAGCGUUGUCCGGAAUUAUUGGGCGUAAAGCGCGCGCAGGCGGUUUCUUAAGUCUGAUGUGAAAGCCCCCGGCUCAACCGGGGAGGGUCAUUGGAAACUGGGGAACUUGAGUGCAGAAGAGGAGAGUGGAAUUCCACGUGUAGCGGUGAAAUGCGUAGAGAUGUGGAGGAACACCAGUGGCGAAGGCGACUCUCUGGUCUGUAACUGACGCUGAGGCGCGAAAGCGUGGGGAGCGAACAGGAUUAGAUACCCUGGUAGUCCACGCCGUAAACGAUGAGUGCUAAGUGUUAGAGGGUUUCCGCCCUUUAGUGCUGCAGCAAACGCAUUAAGCACUCCGCCUGGGGAGUACGGUCGCAAGACUGAAACUCAAAGGAAUUGACGGGGGCCCGCACAAGCGGUGGAGCAUGUGGUUUAAUUCGAAGCAACGCGAAGAACCUUACCAGGUCUUGACAUCCUCUGACAACCCUAGAGAUAGGGCUUCCCCUUCGGGGGCAGAGUGACAGGUGGUGCAUGGUUGUCGUCAGCUCGUGUCGUGAGAUGUUGGGUUAAGUCCCGCAACGAGCGCAACCCUUGAUCUUAGUUGCCAGCAUUCAGUUGGGCACUCUAAGGUGACUGCCGGUGACAAACCGGAGGAAGGUGGGGAUGACGUCAAAUCAUCAUGCCCCUUAUGACCUGGGCUACACACGUGCUACAAUGGGCAGAACAAAGGGCAGCGAAGCCGCGAGGCUAAGCCAAUCCCACAAAUCUGUUCUCAGUUCGGAUCGCAGUCUGCAACUCGAC